CCUGGCUCAGGAUGAACGCUGGCGGCGUGCUUAACACAUGCAAGUCGAACGAUGAUCCCAGCUUGCUGGGGGAUUAGUGGCGAACGGGUGAGUAACACGUGAGUAACCUGCCCUUGACUCUGGGAUAAGCCUGGGAAACUGGGUCUAAUACCGGAUACGACCAUCUGGCGCAUGUCAUGGUGGUGGAAAGCUUUUGUGGUUUUGGAUGGACUCGCGGCCUAUCAGCUUGUUGGUGGGGUAAUGGCCUACCAAGGCGACGACGGGUAGCCGGCCUGAGAGGGUGACCGGCCACACUGGGACUGAGACACGGCCCAGACUCCUACGGGAGGCAGCAGUGGGGAAUAUUGCACAAUGGGCGCAAGCCUGAUGCAGCGACGCCGCGUGAGGGAUGACGGCCUUCGGGUUGUAAACCUCUUUCAGUAGGGAAGAAGCGAAA
Molecule: ribosomal RNA, 436 nt
Filed under: Arthrobacter sp.
Lineage: Bacteria; Bacillati; Actinomycetota; Actinomycetes; Micrococcales; Micrococcaceae
Description: bacterial SSU rRNA
Rfam family: Bacterial small subunit ribosomal RNA
Source: RNAcentral